Molecule: long non-coding RNA, 915 nt
Filed under: Homo sapiens (human)
Lineage: Eukaryota; Metazoa; Chordata; Mammalia; Primates; Hominidae
Description: HSALNT0170839
Source: RNAcentral
CCACCUGGCAUCGCAGUGGAAAACGUCAUCAUCCCCGCACUGUUGAGUGCCCCAGGCAUUUCCCAUGCCAACCUGUGCCAGGCUUGGGACACUUGGGUUCCACCCAGGCCUGGGCUGUCUCCCAAAUCUCAGGCUCUGCUGACCCUGGCUCAAGGGGCCUGUGUGUCCCAUCGAGACCCUGCCCACCCCCUCCCCCCCGGGAGGCCAAGCUGCUCACAGGAGCUCACAAGAGGUGCAGGGACUUGCAGGGUGAGCGGCAGCCGUGGGAAUCGUGGGAUUCGCUGGACCCCACAUCUGGCCUCUGUCCUACACACAUCACAGGUUACCUCACUGGGGGCCUUGGGCCUGUCUGUGUCUGUCAGUCCCAAACAGACUCCUCUUUGGGAUUUCAUGGUCAGGCCAGGUCAGCCUGGGGUGGACCCUUCCUACAGCGUUUCCCAUACCAGCCAAUGACCGGAGUCAGGGAGGGAAGGCAACAGAGUGGGUGCUACCUGAAGAUGGGGUGCUCUUGCUGAGGGGCAUCGGCUGAGAGGUUCCUGCCUCUGGGGUCUGUGCUGUGCCCCCACCGGGUGUGGCUGGUUGGUGGGAGGUGCUGGUUCCCAUACUGGGGGGCAUCGGCUGAGAGGUUCCUGGCUUUGGGGUCUGUGCUGUGUCCCCACCGGGAGUGGCUGGUUGGUGGGAGGUGCUGUUUUCUGCACCCGGGGGCCCCCCGGGUGUGGACGAGGUUGGUGGCCUCAGAGUUGUGCCAGAGGGUGGAUGAGGGCCUGUGCCUCCCCCAGAGCUGGUCGUGGAGGGUCCCUGGGAGGGCUCAGGGGGUCUGGGGACCUCGGAAGUGGUGCUGGCCCAGGGACCCAGCCAGCUCUGCCCAAGGUGGGGAUGGAGACAGGGACAGAGGGGGUACAGGGCAUUGUUGAG